CGAGCGGCCAAAGGGAGCAGACUGUAAAUCUGCCGUCAUCGACUUCGAAGGUUCGACGCGAGCAAUAGUGAGAGAACGUUGCCGCACGCAACGGUCCGAAGGGUGCUGUGCUUUAGCUCCGUAUAA
This 126-nucleotide small RNA is filed under the name Salmonella enterica. RNAcentral's name for it is "partial RtT sRNA". It matches the Rfam family "RtT RNA", at positions 1 to 113 of the family's 130-position model. From Rfam's summary of the family: This family represents a bacterial cis-regulatory element known as RtT RNA. The exact function of RtT is unknown although it is thought that it may be involved in changing the cellular response in relation to amino acid starvation. The record is from RNAcentral. Lineage: Bacteria; Pseudomonadati; Pseudomonadota; Gammaproteobacteria; Enterobacterales; Enterobacteriaceae.